Molecule: small nucleolar RNA, 107 nt
Filed under: Brassica rapa (field mustard)
Lineage: Eukaryota; Viridiplantae; Streptophyta; Magnoliopsida; Brassicales; Brassicaceae
Description: snoRNA Plant_U3
Rfam family: Plant small nucleolar RNA U3
About the family: Small nucleolar RNAs (snoRNAs) are involved in the processing and modification of rRNA in the nucleolus.
Source: Rfam by way of RNAcentral
ACGACCUUACUUGAACAGGAUCUGUUCUAUAGGCUCGUACCUCUGUUUCCUUGAUUUCUAAAGAGACAGGUGAUAUACCUUGGAUUUGAUCCGUUUUCAUCCAUGGU